RNAcentral lists this ribosomal RNA (673 nucleotides) under Pseudosperma sororium. RNAcentral describes it as "eukaryotic LSU rRNA". It matches the Rfam family "Eukaryotic large subunit ribosomal RNA", at positions 1 to 653 of the family's 3401-position model. Lineage: Eukaryota; Fungi; Basidiomycota; Agaricomycetes; Agaricales; Inocybaceae. The record is from RNAcentral.
UUGACCUCAAAUCAGGUAGGACUACCCGCUGAACUUAAGCAUAUCAAUAAGCGGAGGAAAAGAAACUAACAAGGAUUCCCUUAGUAACUGCGAGUGAAGUGGGAAAAGCUCAAAUUUAGAAUCUGGCGGUCGCUUGGCUGUCCGAGUUGUAAUCUAGAGAAGUGUUGCCCGUGCUGGACCAUGUACAAGUCUCCUGGAAUGGAGCAUCACAGAGGGUGAGAAUCCUGUCUUUGACAUGGACUGCCAGUGCUUUUGUGGUACGCUCUCAAAGAGUCGAGUUGUUUGGGAAUGCAGCUCAAAACGGGUGGUAAAUGCCAUCUAAAGCUAAAUAUUGGCGAGAGACCGAUAGCGAACAAGUACCGUGAGGGAAAGAUGAAAAGAACUUUGGAAAGAGAGUUAAACAGUACGUGAAAUUGCUGAAAGGGAAACGCUUGAAGUCAGUCACGUUGACUCGGAAUCAGCUCUGCUUUUGCUGGGUGUACUUUCUUGUCAAUGGGUCAGCAUCAAUUUUGACCAUUGGAUAAAGUUGCUGGGAAUGUAGCAUCCUUUUGGAUGUGUUAUAGCCUGGUGAUGCAUACGGUGGUUGGGAUUGAGGAAUUCAGCACGCCACCAGGCCGGGUUUCGACCACGUUCGUGCUUAGGAUGCUGGCAUAAUGGCUUUAAUCGACCCGUC